AGGAAGCCGCAAAGGGCGUGUGAAAAGUUUUCCUGCCUGCCUGCCUGCUGGCAAUUUAUGCAGCAACCGGGGUAGGCCAGGCCAAGGAAAUCAAAGACGAAUCGAGUUUCAUUCUCCAGUUUCUGACUUCUACUCACCAAAUCAAAAUCGUUUCGGUUGUGCCACAUUAUAUAUUUUUCCAAACACAACUAAAACACAUCCUGAUUAUGGCAGACAAAAAGGAUGACACUGGAAGCCAUGUGGAGGGAUGUCCUUGUCUCUUGAAAGGCAAGUGCACUUGCAAGGCCCCCAAGAAGGACAGGGUGGUCUUGAAUCCCUAAGAGUACGAUCGCUUGAUGGCCACCAAUGAGGGUCUUGCCAAUUUGAAGAGAAUGAUGCGGCUGGAAGCCGGUCUAGGUGAACCCGACGAUGUAAUCAUCAUCGAGGGCUCCGAUCUUGAAUACUAAACUAUAUGCUGCGAAACCCAAGACACACCACAAAUAGUAUAUGAUCUUCUACCUUUAAUAAUAGUUUUUACAAUGAAAUACUGGUACCUCGAUUACUAAACAAGUUGCUGCCAAAAACACGAUAAAUAGGAAUGAAGUGCUUCAAAAUUUUCAAGUUCAAAGCACACCACGAGUAGAUGAAUAGGAAUCGGUGUAUCCUUUAUCUUAAAACACUGUAUCUACAGUGAAACACAAGUAUCCGGUUCUUGCAAGCUCACGAUGAAUAGCUAUGGAUCUUCCGCCUUCAAAAACUGUUUCUAUAUGGAGACACUAGUAUACAUACUAUAUUUUGUAAGCAUGUUUUGGACUGCUGCUUGAAAAUAAAGCUCUUGUGACAAAGGAGAAAGACUACACUA
RNAcentral lists this small RNA (841 nucleotides) under Drosophila ananassae. Its description in RNAcentral is "GF26748". The record is from RNAcentral. Lineage: Eukaryota; Metazoa; Arthropoda; Insecta; Diptera; Drosophilidae.